GUAUGUAAGUGCUUUCGCUUCUUCGUAGACUCCGAAGAAAAUAAAGCCUCCUAAUGUGAUCCACAUUACUCUCAGGGGAAAACCAGCAAAUAGGGAAAACGGAAGAAGGGAGAUACUUACCCACGAAAACCAUUUUCCAGAUACACCCUGCGAAGUAUAUCUAGUAUCUUUAAUUCUGACGAAAGCAAUGUCCUACUCGACAGCAUUAUUCUCGUUUUUGCAACAUCUAACGGAGUCGUAACAGCCGCGGAGACGCCUCCUAAAAUAUACACGGCGUAAACACAUGUAGAUGCGAUCUAAUAUAAAUACGAAUAAUGAUCUCUCUAU
Molecule: long non-coding RNA, 327 nt
Organism: Wasmannia auropunctata (little fire ant)
Lineage: Eukaryota; Metazoa; Arthropoda; Insecta; Hymenoptera; Formicidae
Exons: 2
Source: RefSeq, a predicted model, not a curated record